AGCAGCCGCGGUAAUUCCAGCUCCAAUAGCGUAUAUUAAAGUUGUUGCAGUUAAAAAGCUCGUAGUUGAAUUUCGGGACUAAUAUGUCGGUCGUGCCUCGGUACGCACUGGCUUAUUGGUUUCUCCUUUCUGAAGAACCAUGAUGUCAUUUAUUUGGUGUCGUGGGGAAUCAGGACUGUUACUUUGAAAAAAUUAGAGUGUUUAAAGCAGGCUCACGCUUGAAUACAUUAGCAUGGAAUAAUGAAAUAGGACGUUUGAUUCUAUUUUGUCGGUUUCUAGGAUCGACGUAAUGAUUAAUAGGGAUAGUUGGGGGCAUUAGUAUUCAAUUGUCAGAGGUGAAAUUCUUGGAUUUAUUGAAGACUAACUACUGCGAAAGCAUUUGCCAAGGAUGUUUUCAUUAAUCAAGAACGAAAGUUAGGGGAUCGAAGACGAUCAGAUACCGUCGUAGUCUUAACCAUAAACUAUGCCGACUAGGGAUCGGAUGAUGUUAAUUUUUAAUGACUCAUUCGGCGCCUUAACC
Molecule: ribosomal RNA, 520 nt
Filed under: uncultured Glomus
Lineage: Eukaryota; Fungi; Glomeromycota; Glomeromycetes; Glomerales; Glomeraceae
Description: SSU rRNA
Rfam family: Eukaryotic small subunit ribosomal RNA
Source: RNAcentral